Molecule: long non-coding RNA, 9590 nt
Filed under: Homo sapiens (human)
Lineage: Eukaryota; Metazoa; Chordata; Mammalia; Primates; Hominidae
Description: non-protein coding lnc-SLITRK5-1:2
Source: RNAcentral
UUUUCAUUUUUGUUGUUUUUAAUUUUAGUUUAACAUAUGCACAGAUGACAUUGUGGCUUUAUUUUGAAGACUCAUUUAUACCUGGUCCACAUUGACAAACUUAUUUGCGAUUUGUAUAUUUAAAUAAUUUUUUCAAGAUAUUAACAUACAAGUUCAAUUCUUUCUUGAUUGUAAUACUUCAAUAUUUAAUCAUAUUUAUAUUCAUAUAUAUUUAUGCGAGCAGCAAAAUUCUGUGGUUUUUGGUGUUCUGGAGUGUACAUAUUUUAGAUUUUUACUGACAAAUUAAUUUCUACUACUAGUGAUCAUUUCUAGCAUUCUCAACUAACACACUUUUCAAAAAUCUUAUUGUAUACUUCAUUAAAAACAAUACAUAAUAAUGGAUAUUGAAACCAAAAUUUCUGCAUAUUUUCAAUUUAGUACCUGCCUAUUGAAACAAAAUCUGAAGGGUGUCAGUAAUCCUAGGUUAACUGAUUAGCAAAUUUCUUUUAGGAUACUAUAAUACUCUGACUAGCAUGUUUCAUGCAUGAAAAGUUCAUCGGUGAUAUGCAGACUACAGUUUUAAAUAUUAAAUUUAAAAAUUGAUAUAUAAAAAUGAAAACUUGACCAAUAAAUAUAUCUCACCUGUAAUAAUAUAUUUACAUAAAUUAUCCACACAAAAAAUAUGCCUUUUAACUUUAUAAACAUAGAAUAUUUUUUGCUAUAUUAACAUCCAAAGUCAAAAGGGUGUAUCACUCUGAAAAUUCUAAUAAUAGUGAAAGACUUAUAGCUAUCAAAUUUAUUUAAAUCCUCUGUUUUAAUAUCUACUUUAAAUUUUCACUUCAAAAUAUAAAGUUAAUGGUAUAUAUUUUUUUUUAUAUAGCUGAAAUCUGCCCUUGCUAAAGUUUCAUAAGAUAUACAAUACACAUAAUAGGGUUCCUUCACAGUUUUAUUUUUGUUUAGCAUUUAGGUACCAUAUAUUAAAAUAUGAAGCUAUAAAUUUCCACUAGUUAAGUUAUAAUUAUGUUUUUUCAAACAAUAUACCUCAAUUAUAUAAUCAUCCCAAUUUUUUAAAGCUAGUGACCAUGAGCAUAUAUAUGGGUGCAUCCAAAUGAGAAUAUUGAGAUCCAGAAAUUACUAAUUUUAGAGAAUAUUCAAAAUCAUUCACCAGACUGUCAUUUAAACCCAUUCAAUCAGUAUAAUGAUAUAUUUGUUACCCAAUUAUGAUGAAAGAUCCCUAAUUCUUAGAUGAAAAUGUAGUAUUUCACUGGAAAUUCGUUUUUUGAAUGUUAAACCAUAAUUAUUGAGUAUCCAGAUUAUAAAUUUUAAAUAUCCUCUCCAAGAUUUUAUAUAUAUAAUUUAUAUAUAUAUACAGAAAAUUAAAGAGGGUCUUUCUAUAAAAGUAAGCAUUUUAGGAAAUCACUAAUUUCAUAUGGCUUUCACUAUGUUUGACUUGUAAUUUAACAACAAAUUUCAUCUUCCUUUAAGAAUUUUUACCCCAGAGAAGGUAUUUGUUUGCAUAGCAUGUACUUGAGUCAUCCGUUGUCCUAUUAUUGGUUUUGGCCUAGUCUCUUCAUUUAGAAGCUCUGUGCCCAAGGUCAGACACAUGGAAAAUGGUCUCUAUCAUUGCCUUUAAUUCUCACAACUGAAUCAUUCUACCACUGUCCCCUACCUCUCUGUUAUUUUUUGAAAGAAAAAAAAAAGAAGGUGAUAUAUCUCUUUAUUUUGCUAACAAAAGAAUUUUAAGAAUAUCCUAAGGCAAAUUCAUGACAUCCCCCACAUUAUUAAAAUAAAAAUAUGACUCAAUUUCUAACAUGGCAAUCAAGAACUAUGUAAGCAGGACUUAGUGUGAAUAAGGGGAUGGGGAUUUUAAAUUGUUACUAUGAAUUUGUGAUUCAUUAGUAAUUUUAAAUACACAACAUCUAAAACAUAAAGGUGGCAAUUUCUUUUUUAGUAUAUUUUAAAUUACACACUUUUGUUGACAGGGUAGGUAAUAUAGUUUACAAAAUGCCACUAUUGCCUGCUUACAAACAUUAAGAAACUUGGUUGCCGACUGAUGACUCAUGUGGUAACUCCUGAACAAUCUGUUUUAUUUGAUCAGAUCAGCUUUAUUUCCUUUAAAAAAAAUUUUGAAUUCAAAUGAUUUUAGGCUAGAUGAAUAGCUUCCAUAUUUCCAUAUUGUCUUAACCUAGAAACUUCAAAUAAUUUUACAUUACCAGCUAGACCAUAAGUGUAUUUUAACUUUCAAUCAUGAUUAAAUAAAAUUUGUUCCUCUAAUAUUAAAAUGUAUCUAUCAUAAUCAUGGAUUUUUAGAUAUUGUUCUUGGGGAGCUCAGAGUUUAUCAAAGCUUUAUAUGUGAUAUACGAGGUAGUAAAUACUAUGUAGGUUUAUAUUAAGGAAAUAAAACAAAUAUAAUAAACACGAGAAUGAAUAAUUUUACAUGAAAAGGGGGAGCUGGUAUGCUGUAUAUUAAUAUUGUAUUUGAAAUAUAAAUAUAUGUGUUAAAGUUAACCAUUUACAGUGACUUGGAGUCUCCCAGAGAUGAAAUUACUCCUGUUUAGGUGAUUUUGUAAAAUGCACUAUCUCUCACAGCCCCUGGACAUCAUAAGGGAAGUGGCAGCAGUAAUUUAAGAGGUAUGUGAAUACAGAAGGGAAAUUAUAAUUGCAGCAUACACAGAAGCUUUUCCUAAACUGUUCAACUGCUCAUAUACUUGACAAGAGUGUAAAUGGCCAAUUCAUUGGAAAUAUGUGAAACAUCAAAUAUGAGAAUCACUUUUAGGAUGACAGGUAUAAUUUGGAAAAUCUGAUCCGAUAGAAUUAAGACCAAAACUUUUUUAAAUGGGAGAAGACAGAAUGGCCAUUUUUUUUUCAAUGUCUUUGAACAAAAUAAUGAGUAGAAGUAAUAUAUUCUUCACCAUUGCUUACUGUGUCCAUGAGAGGUUGUUUGUAAAUAGAUAUAUACCUACAGGAAGUAAAAGAUAAUGUAAUGAAAUUCUCAAACUCUCCAAAUAUGUUUGUUUCCUUUUAAGAUUGUUUUUCUUGAGACAAAAAACUGAAAUACUAUCUAAAAUAAUUUUGGAUUUUAUUUCCUCUAUCCUUUUUAUAACAAAAUGUUACUUAGCUUUAUAUAUUGCUAUUAUGUAUGUUUCUAUAUAAAUAUAUAAUAAGUUGGAUUUUUUUUCACUGUUGAUUUGGUUUAGUCAUCAUCUUAGCUUUUUGCCUCACUGAAAGUAUAGGUUGUGCUUCAAAUGAGAAAAUAAGAGGUGCGAAGUAUUUGCUGUUAUUUUUAUCAAAUGAUAGCCAAUGGCUAAACAUUAAAAUGGUGAUUCUGUUAUUCCGAAUUAAGUUUCUUUGUCCACCACAGAUUGAUGGUGUGUCUUUGGCAACUUUCUUUGUGUCUCUGCUUUAAUUUCAAUUGUAAAAAUGAAUCCAAUGAACUUGGUUUAUGAACAGCUGAAAGAAAUUUAGAUUUUAAGUUUUCUCUACUAGGUGUAUGACAACUGUGACUCUAAAAUCAGCAACAUGAUAAUUAACUAUUACUGUUAUUUACAUUAUGCACCUAUGAAAGGGAUGAUUAUAUCUUUUAGAGAAAACAUCUUUCUCUUACUGCGUAUGUGUCUAAUAUUUGUAAAAUAAUUAGUUCAAAACAUUUAAUUUCUCCAUUAACUUUUAUUUUACAAAAUGAAAUAAUUGUUUGUAGAUAAUUAAUGGCAACUUUAAAAGUAUGACACCCUUGAAAAAGAAAGAACUUACUAGUUUAGUUUUCUUGACUUUCUUACAUAUUUUUACCUUUUGAAAUAACAUUGAGCUUUCAGUACAUUUAAUAAGAUGUAUCAUCAGUAUUUAUUUCUCAAAAAAUUGAGUAACCUUUCUAAAUUAGAUAAGUUUUAUUUGCUUAUUUUAUUUGCUUUUAACACAUUUUGAAGUUAUGUGUGAGGUAAUUUCCAUUGUUCCAGUUUUAAUUCAAACAAUACUGAACAUACUUACAAUAUCUAAAGAUCUUUGGCCUUUCUUUGCAGAAUUAAUUGGAAAAGGUACAAUAAAUAUGCAAUAUGUCACUCACCAUUUUAAUAUUCUAAAUUUAGCAAUUGCUCUUAUACCUAAUGAUUAAUAAUAUAAGUUGUUCUAGUUUCCUUUAUCUGCUGUGGUAUAAAUUUGGCUGUUAAUCCAAUAAUAAAACUAUUUAUAUUUUUAACAUUUUCAAAUAUCAUUACUACUGCUAUUUACUAGUCUCAGUGACAAUCUGAGAUCCUCCUUAGAUGCUUAGAGGAACCUUUAUACAGGGUUAUAAAUAGAGAAUUCUAAUGAUUAAAAUUUAAAAUGGUAGCAAUGACAAGUCCACUAUAAACAUAAUAAAUAAAUCAUUACCUUCUCUAUUAAUGAACAGAAACUUCAGUACUUUAAAGCUAAUAUCUUGAAAGAUUUUAGAAGUGCAGCAAGCUGGUACUCACACCUAAUGAAAAGGUCUUAGUGAAAAUCAUUUUACAAUUUACAACAUUUGCAUUGUUCUUUACAAAUGUUGUUUCCAUUCCAUGCAAGACAAUUAAACCAGAAUUAUUUUGACCACAAAUUUUUCUUCCUAAUUAAUUGGCCAAACACAAUGUAAAUAAAAUAGGAAAUGCUUCAGUUAAUAUUUACUAUAUAAACAAACAAACAGAUAGUGGGAUAAUGGUUUUAUCUAUCACCAUAUUCUAGAAUUGUGCCUGGCAUUCAGUAAGCACCUAAUGGAUUAACAAAUAUGUACUUGUAGAUGUCUGCAGACCAAGGUGAAUUUAGUGAAUAUCAAAAACUUCUUGAGUGCUCCAUCGUAACGCCAUUUAUCUUGACAUAAACUGCAAAGAUGGCUCAAAUGUCGAUAAGGAUAUCAGUUCAGGGUCUCCAGUGGCUGCAGCCUAUCCCAGAAGCUCAGGGUGCAAGGCAAGAAGUAAUCGUGGGACCAGGCGCCGUGGCUCUCGCCUGUAAUCCCAGCACUUUGGGAGGCAGAGGCUGGUGAAUCACUUGAGGUCAGGGGUUCCAGACUAGCCUGGCCAACAUGAUGAAACCUCAUCUCCACUAAAAAUACAAAUAUUAAUUGGAUGUAGUGGUACAUGCCUGUAAUCCCAGCUACUCGGGAGGCUGAAGCUUGAACCCGGAGGCAGCGGUUGCAGUGAGCUGAGAUCGUGAUACUGCACUCCAGCCUGGGUGAGGGAGUGAGACUCUAAAAAAAAAAAAAAAAAAAAAAAAAAAAAAAAAAAGACUAACCAUGGGCAAGACAUCGUCCCAUUGCAGGGUGCACUCACACACACCCACACUCACUCACACUGGGACAGUGUAGACACACCGAUGAACCCAACAUGCACAUCUUUGGGAUACUAGAGUAAACUGGAGUGCUUAGAGAAAACCCAUGAGAACAUAGGAAGAACUUGCAUACCCCACACAGACAGUGGUCCCUGCAGGGUUUUUCUGUUUGUUGGUUGUUUUUCCUUCAUCAAGUUUGUAAUGAAACGAUGUUGAAUGAUAAAAUAUUAUUUGAGGAAUUGUUGUACAAGGAUUUUGGCAUUUGUCUGUAUAUGGAAAUCAAAGACAUUUUAAAGUGAUUAUAAAUCUUUGUACAUGUUGACAAUAUUCAAUUCAGUUAAAGGCUUUAUCACGGUACAUUGUGACCUCUCUUUAAAUGGUUACAUUACUUUGAGCUCUGAAAAUUUGUUAUACUUACAUUGUUCUAAUUGUUCAUAACUAGGAAUUCACUGACUUUGCUUUAAUGUAUGCUAGGAAAACUGAAGUAGAUAAAUCAUACUUCCCCUUUCAGUCUCCUUCUCUCUUUUGGAUUUAAUUUUAACUCGAGGUUUAUUAAUUACAGAAGUUACACUCAUGUUGCUGCAAAUGUAUUUUUUCUAGUUGUUAAUUUGUUCAUGACAUUCUGCUUGAUGAUAGUAAUAUUAUGAUGAAGGUGCCUCAGAUAUCAAAAAAGAUUUCAAGUCUAUAGAACGUACCUCUAGCUACAGAGUCACAGGAUAUGUGACAGCAAUGAUAUUAGGGGAUGCUGAGCUGGAAACCCAAUUCAGCACCAGAGACAGAAAUACUGUAUUUUGACUCAUUCAUCUUACAUGGAAGAUGAAGCCUGCCAAUCAAGUAGAAAAUGUAGGCCUCCAAGACAAUAACUCACCUGCCUUUUUGUGGUUUAUAUUUUUCAUCUUGGUUAAAAAGUGUCCAUUGAUAGGGGAUUUAAUCAAAACAUUAAAGAAGACAUAAUAUAGCCACCAAAUCUAAUUAUUUCCAACUACUAGAUAUCAGAGCUUUAAAAAAAUUGUUUUUAACUGCAUUUGCUUCAUUUUUCUUAUGGGAUAUUAAUAGAAAAAUGGAGUGCAUUUCUAACAGUUGCAUUUUUUCAUAUGUGUGGCUAUGUUUAUGCUGAUAUUAGUUAAAAGUUCUAAAAACAAGCAAAGAAAAUAUACACAGUUUUUUGGCAUUGAUUGGUUGAUAUAAUAAUUAUGUAUAUUUACUUAAUAUGCAUAAUUUAAAAAUGUAUAUUUUUAUGUAUAUAUAUUUAUACGUAUAUAAUUACGUAUAUUUACUUAAUAUACAUAAUUAUUACUAUGAGCUUGGGCAAAAAAUGUAUUUUGGCAUUCCACUGUUCAGUUUUAAGUCAUUUAUUGGUACAUAAUUCUUUUAUUUCUACUUCAAUAAAUAUAAUUAAGUUUUGUGAAAGCCGUGUUCUAAUGAACAAGUAAUUCUUUCUUUUAAAAUAUUCCUUUUAAUUCUAAUUUAAAGUUUCUUAAGUAAAAAUAUAGCUCUUCAAUAAUAAUAUUAUAAUGUGUUUCUCUUCUAAAAUAAACAGAUUUUAUACUCAUUAUUUUAAAAUGUGAUCAAAACCACAUAAUUGUUUUUAGUCUUCUGAUUGGGAUUUUUAAAAAGAAAAUUCAAAGUUUGGCAUUAAAUAUAUUUUCUGUAAGAUAAUAUAACUACAUAUGAUAAAAUGAUUAAGUACUCUGAUAGUGUCACUAUUUCAAUACCAUUAUUAUCUUUAACAUAUGUUAAAACACUCCAGUACAUAACUAAUAAAGAGGAAUUCACAUGGCCAGCAAUUUUAAACUGGUGCAGCAAACUUAUCUUUUGUGUUUGCAAACAUAAGAGAACUGAAGAAGCAAGAUGCAAACAAUGUCUCCGUUGUUCAGCAUGUGUUUUAUGAUAUAAUACAUUCGUUCAUGUUGUGUUAUACAAAUUUUGCAGGGAGGGUUGCUCGUUUUAUCAAUUUGUGUAUUUUUUAUUUCAUAUUUUGUACGCAAUCAUGAGCAUUUUUCUUAUAAAUUGUACACAACAAGAACCUGUUGAAGAUUAGAAGGAAGGAGCAGCACAUACUUUUAGCAAUCCUUUUAUCUUACCAAUCACUGGAAGAAAAUGAUGCCAAGAAGCCAUGUGAGAUAUCAUCUCUGUCUGUCAUGUUUUCAGAACAGAGUGUGGCUUACUAAUGUUGCCAUUGCAGGCUAUGCUUUGUCAAGUGAAUACGGUUUUCAUCUUAAGGGGAUAGUAAGCAAGAUGUUAGCAAUACUCACUCAUCUUCAGAUUUCAUUGUCAAAUAUACUAAUAUUUCAAAAAUAUGGUUUUCAUCUAGAAAAAAAUGGAGAUUUUGAGUGUACAAAUAUAGCCAAUGCAGGUUAAAUUUAAACAGAGAUUUUUUUUUAAUCUCUCCCUUUUUUAUACUUUUUUUUUUUUUUUUUGAGACAGAGUCUUGCCCUGUCACCCAGGCUUCAGUGCAAUGGUGCAAUCUCGACUCACUGCAACCUCCGCCUCCCAGGUUCUAGUGAUUCUCCUGCCUCAGCCUCCCAAGUAGCUGGGAUUACAGGCACGCGCUACCACACCUGGCUAAUUUUUGUAUCUUUAGUAGAGACAGGUUUCACCAUGUUGGUCAGGCUGGUAUCGAACUCCUGACCUCAUGAUCCACCCGCCUCGGACUCCCGAAGUGCUGGGAUUACAGGCAUAAGCCACCACACCUGGCCCCCUUUUUUAUACUUUUUACAAGUAAUCUGACACUAGGUGCCACAUAAUUAAGAUAAAGACAAAAGUGCAAAACCAUGUAAAAUAUUGACUUCUAAUUGUGAAUUAGUUUCCCUUUUCUACUUGUUUUGCCUUGUUGGAUAUGAAACAUUUCAAGUAUGUCAUUGUAGGAUUAUUUUUGACAUUUUAUUCUUAGAAUGGUGAUUUAGUUGCAUAAUUCUCAUUUGCUAUACCACUUUUCUAAAAAAUAAAUGUUUGAAUUAUUGAAAUAUCCCAAGAUACUCCUUGUUAUAUAAUUGUAGAUCAUUACUUUAUUUUCAGACAAAUUAUGCUAUUGUGGAUAAAUAUUCAAUGUAUAAAAUACAGGACUUCUUUUUUCCUGUUUUACAAAACUCCAGUGCCCUUUCUUAUCUACUAUUUUAAUAUUCCUUUGCUAUAGUAUAUUGCAUAAUGUGGAGUCAACUAUUUUUUACAAUAUGUACGUGUUGAUCUGAAAGUUCCUAUUGAGUUAAAUAAUGAAAAAUAAUUUGGUGGACCAUGAAUUUUAAAUUUGUUAAAAAUUGUUUUAUUUGUGUAUGUGUAUAAAAUUAAAUUUUGCAAAUUGGUAAAUUUAUUCUUCAUUUAACCUUGUUGCUUUGAGUACUCCUAAAGCUUGUAAUAAUUCUUUGGGGAGUAAUAUAAAAUAUAUCAUUCAUAAGUGAAUUUUGCCUUACCAUUAUUCAAGAAUAAUUGGUUUGCAUUUUUUAUUUUUUGGUCAACUCUUCUGUUAUUUCAUUUCCCUAACUUCUUAAAAAUAGUUAAGUUUGGGUUAUAAAUGGCUACGUAUUUAUAUAAUUUAUUUUGAAAACUACACUAAUCUAUGAACUUCUUAAGAUUAUACAAGCUGAUAUUUAAAAUAAUCUGAGUCACUCAAAGAUCUUACUUUGGAAUAGCCACUAAGAAUAGUCAGAACAGUUUAGUGUUUCUUGAACUGAAGCAUUUUUCUGCUGCUGCAUUUGAAAUUGCCUGCUCUCCUUACUUAGAUUCUCUAGAUAGCUGCCUGUGAAACCUCUCUCACCUCCCACACUUUCACAGGCUCCUGGGGCUGGCGCAAGGUACAGCCAUUGGUGGCAACAUGAAGUUAACAACAACAACAAAAGCAGAGUAAAGAGAAAAAUUGGAAGAGAGACUAUUUCUGAGGUUGUUUCCAAACAACCCUAGAAUUCUGUACAUGCCAGGCACUUUCCAGUGCCUAUUCCAUUUUUUCAUUCAUAGUUCCCAGGAAAAGUCCUGAUUGGAAAUGCAAAGCCCUGGGCCUAGUUUCUGUGAUGAUAUUUCCUUGCAAUUUCCUUCUGAUGUGUAGAUGGCUUUUGUCUGUCCGUUUGCUGUCAGUAGGAGCAUUAGGAGCUUAGCUUGAAUGUGUGUGUGUGUGUGUUUAUGUGUGUGUGUGUGUCAUUACUAGUCCCUGUCUAUAUGCCAAGAAAGACUGGUAGGCAAAGAAGAAAAUUAAACAUUUAACCCUAUCUCAGUGUCUUUCUAACACUACCAACAAGAAGGAGGGGCGGGGAGCGGGGAGAGAGAAAUGGAUCAUGGAUUUGUUUUAGAUGUAAAAACCACUGCGUGUUGGUAGCUACAUUAUAUUAUGUGGUGGGUUAGGGAAG